This 231-nucleotide long non-coding RNA is filed under the name Capsicum annuum. RNAcentral describes it as "long non-coding RNA (CANN_LNC004736)". The record is from RNAcentral. Lineage: Eukaryota; Viridiplantae; Streptophyta; Magnoliopsida; Solanales; Solanaceae.
AGUGAGAUGAGAGAAUAAAAAUGAAAGAGUCUCAAUGGUGAAAAACCCUCACAGACACCAUAAGACAAUGGUGAACUGAGAAAAAGAAAACGAGAGAGGCUUAUUGGCGAAAGCCCUUCAAGGUAUCACUAGCUGAAUAAGGUCUUAAAUGCAAUUGACCUAAGGAAACAACUCAGUUUCAAGGUCAUUAACUCAACAACAAUUGGUAGAAAGUUUGGAUGGAAAGAUCAG